RNAcentral lists this ribosomal RNA (498 nucleotides) under uncultured Glomeromycotina. RNAcentral's name for it is "partial small subunit ribosomal RNA". It matches the Rfam family "Eukaryotic small subunit ribosomal RNA", at positions 591 to 1092 of the family's 1831-position model. The record is from RNAcentral. Lineage: Eukaryota; Fungi; Glomeromycota.
CCAAUAGCGUAUAUUAAAGUUGCUGCAGUUAAAAAGCUCGUAGUUGAACUUCGGGAUCAAUAUGUUGGUCGUGCCUUGGUACGUACUAGCUUAUUGAUUUCUCCUUUCUGACGAACCAUGAUGUCAUUAAUUUGGUGUCAUGGGGAAUCAGGACUGUUACUUUGAAAAACUUAGAGUGUUUAAAGCAGGCUCGCGCUUGAAUACAUUAGCAUGGAAUAAUGAAAUAGGACAUUUGAUUCUAUUUUGUUGGUUUCUAGGAUCGAUGUAAUGAUUAAUAGGGAUAGUUGGGGGCAUUAGUAUUCAACUGUCAGAGGUGAAAUUCUUGGAUUUAUUGAAGACUAACUACUGCGAAAGCAUUUGCCAAGGAUGUUUUCAUUAAUCAAGAACGAAAGUUAGGGGAUCGAAGACGAUCAGAUACCGUCGUAGUCUUAACCAUAAACUAUGCCGACUAGGGAUCGGAUGAUGUUAAUUUUUUAAUGACUCAUUCGGCGCCUUACG